AACGAGAAUCUACUGAAAGAGUUUUCGGACAAUGGAUGUAGAGGAAAGUGGCGGACGGGUGAGUAACGCGUGAGGAACCUGCCUUGAAGAGGGGGACAACAGUUGGAAACGACUGCUAAUACCGCAUGAUGCAUAGGGGUCGCAUGAUCUUUAUGCCAAAGAUUUAUCGCUUCAAGAUGGCCUCGCGUCUGAUUAGCUAGUUGGCGGGGUAACGGCCCACCAAGGCGACGAUCAGUAGCCGGACUGAGAGGUUGAACGGCCACAUUGGGACUGAGAUACGGCCCAGACUCCUACGGGAGGCAGCAGUGGGGAAUAUUGGGCAAUGGGCGCAAGCCUGACCCAGCAACGCCGCGUGAAGGAAGAAGGCUUUCGGGUUGUAAACUUCUUUUAAGAGGGAAGAGCAGAAGACGGUACCUCUAGAAUAAGCCACGGCUAACUACGUGCCAGCAGCCGCGGUAAUACGUAGGUGGCAAGCGUUGUCCGGAUUUACUGGGUGUAAAGGGCGUGCAGCCGGGUCUGCAAGUCAGAUGUGAAAUCCAUGGGCUCAACCCAUGAACUGCAUUUGAAACUGUAGAUCUUGAGUGUCGGAGGGGCAAUCGGAAUUCCUAGUGUAGCGGUGAAAUGCGUAGAUAUUAGGAGGGACACCAGUGGCGAAGGCGGAUUGCUGGACGAUAACUGACGGUGAGGCGCGAAAGUGUGGGGAGCAAACAGGAUUAGAUACCCUGGUAGUCCACACUGUAAACGAUGAAUACUAGGUGUGCGGGGACUGACCCCC
RNAcentral lists this ribosomal RNA (775 nucleotides) under uncultured bacterium. Its description in RNAcentral is "bacterial SSU rRNA". It matches the Rfam family "Bacterial small subunit ribosomal RNA", at positions 65 to 839 of the family's 1533-position model. The record is from RNAcentral.